CACCCUCUGAGCGCUGAGGUCCCAUGCUGUUGUAAGCCUUGCUGCUGCUUGGUAUGGAGAAGACUUCCAUCACUGAUUUGACUACUUCAGGAUUGUUUUCAUGCUCUCUCUGGCAAGCUGCAGCUCUUGCACAGAAACCUAUCAGUCAAAUGACUUUAUCUGGGAGCAGACGACGUCUUGGUACAGCAAAACUUGUAAGCGUUUGUUUAGGUCCAUGCCUACUUGUGACAGUCAAGCCAAGAGUUUUGUAACUUGUGAAGCAAAGAAGUUAUUCUACAUUGUGGACCAAGCACCACACGGGGAAACAAGACACUGGAAGCUUUGA
This 325-nucleotide long non-coding RNA is filed under the name Meleagris gallopavo (turkey). RNAcentral describes it as "lncRNA (ENSMGAG00000018215.1)". The record is from RNAcentral. Lineage: Eukaryota; Metazoa; Chordata; Aves; Galliformes; Phasianidae.